Ceratitis capitata (Mediterranean fruit fly) is the source of this 8823-nucleotide RNA transcript. It is a transcript of the gene named PRA1 family protein 3, with no coding region annotated. The record is from RefSeq and is a predicted model, not a curated record. NCBI's taxonomy places the organism in Eukaryota, Metazoa, Arthropoda, Insecta, Diptera, Tephritidae. The transcript has 5 exons.
UAAUGAAAAGAUAAUCAUCAAAUACAUCUAUUUAGCCAAAAACCCCAUCAUUUUUGGACAGUUUUAGCAAAAGCCGCUGUUCUAAAUAAUUACCGUCACAUAUUGGAAAUUGCUCCAAUGCGAAGUUUGGACGAAUUUAUGUUCGGUUCUGCUCGCUUUCAAAUAUCAAAUGUGAGAGAUGGGGACAAAUCGCGCAAUCGUGUUGUGAAAAAUUUACUUUAUUAUCAAACAAAUUAUUUUGUAAUGUGUCUGGGAAUUUAUGGUUUAUUGAUUAUAUUAAACCCGCAGAAAGUUUUUUGUGGAUUAAUCAUUCAGUCAAUAAUAAUUGCGGUAUUAUUGCGUUAUUUGGUAAAACGGCCACAUUCUAAAUUCAAACAUUCGGCCAGUUGGUCGAAUAUUUCACAAGGAAAUACUCAUCGAAAAUUGUAUUUUUUGCCAUGUGUUCUGAUAUGCGGGUAUCUGUUUUUGCAUUGGUCAAAUACAAUUUUUUUGACAAUAUUUACCGUGAUGUUACCAGUGUCACUUUAAGAUAUAUCAAAAACUAGAGGUUUGCGGUAGGCUUAGUCAUCUGUGUCUGAGAGAGAAUAGAGCCGCCUUUCACCUGCUAUAACUCAUUUUUCACCAACUGGACGUAGGAGUACAGGCUCGGAUUACAUGAGAAGGUCGAUUACGUAAAAAUUCCGACCAUAAAUAUACCAAAGAUGUUGGGAGUCUCAUUUGACAUCCUACAUCUUUGCGGUAUAUGCAAACGCCGCAAAACUCCAGAGCCUCAACAAAAAACAAAUACUCAAAGGGCUAGCCGGCAGCACCUGAGGUAAAGACAAUGAAACUUUGCUGGCAAUCUAUAAAGCAGUUGACAGGCCAGGCCGGUCGUAAACUAUGUUUCAUCGAACUGAGCACUGGGGACGAACGCGACGUAGAUGAAGCAGCUACAGGUUUCUCAGACCACUUCCCUCAGGGCGGCGACAGACAACCUCCUGAUGUCGACAUUCUUCACAAUUAACGAUAAUACCCCCACCAGAGUAAUGGGUUAUUGCCAAAGUUGGCCGGACAUAACAAUUGCGAGUGCUGGUCUGAUAAAGAGUACAAUCUGGCGACCUGUACUGACACUAGCAUCGGACCACUUGCCCAUACAAAUCUCGACUGACAGGCCUCCCGACUUUGUUUCCACGAAUCACCGGACAUUUGUUAACUUCAAAAAAGUUAACUGGCUCGUCUACACGGAAUUAACGGAGAACGUCUUUAGUGCUCUCCCCGCUCCACCAGACUGGUGAGCGUUCAUUCCGCAGGGUUGUCGUCAUGGGCUACAUGAUUACAAUUUUUAUAUAUCGAAUCUCGCCCCCUCCACCAGAAGAAUUUUCCCUAAGCUCGUAUGCCGUUGAUUGUGUGAUGAUGGCGUCUGGCCGGUAUACUGCUACCUUGCCGAUCUUUCUUACUUCUUCACUAUAUGGCAGUUAAAAAGUACAUACAUACAGUCGACGAAAUCCUCGGCUACCCUCUUCACCAACUGGACGAAGGAGUGCAGGCUUGAAUUAGAUGUGAAGCUCGAUGACGUAAAAAUUCCCAAAGAGUCGAGAGUCACAUUAGAUACAGGCACUCAUUCACUCUGCAUACGACCGCAAUUGCCGCAAAAUCAAGAGCCGCAAAAUCAAGAGCCGCAAAAAAAUAAUUAAAGCGCUAGCCGACAGCACCUGGGGUGAAGACAAAGAAACUUUGCUGCCAUCUUACAAAGCCAUUCGCCGGCCGGUCGAAAACUAUGCUGCAUCGAUCUGGGCGCCUAGGACGAACGAGACGCAGAUGAAGAAGCUACAAGCUUGCCAGAACACCGCCCUCAAGAGAGCGACAGGAAACCUCCUGAUGCCGCCGAAUGCAUCAGUGGAGCAUCUAUGCUAUGAGUUAAGGAGCAUAAUGCUUUGCUGUGCAAGUAAUUCUUAUUAGGUUUGUCACCGUAGGGAACACCACAAUAGGCAUCUUAUUGAAGCUGAACCACCACCUAGGCGCAUCAGAAAUAGAGUAAUUGACAUAAAAAACACCAUCCAGAAAUACGUGCAGCAACCGCUGAACAGGAAAAUAUGUAAGACGAAUUAAAUAGAUCGGCAUGUAUUUGGAGUGCGAAUUACGAUUGGGCAGACGUGGAAAUGCCGUAUAACGGCAUGGGCAAGCGGUGACAACUUUGUGUUUCCAUGGCGCUCUCAUUAGAUAUGUUGCUAUGAACGGAAGUUUAAGAUAUAUCAAAAACUAGAGGUUUGCGGUAGGCUUAGUCAUCUGUGUCUGAGAGAGAAUAGAGCCGCCUUUCACCUGCUAUAACUCAUUUUUCACCAACUGGACGUAGGAGUACAGGCUCGGAUUACAUGAGAAGGUCGAUUACGUAAAAAUUCCGACCAUAAAUAUACCAAAGAUGUUGGGAGUCUCAUUUGACAUCCUACAUCUUUGCGGUAUAUGCAAACGCCGCAAAACUCCAGAGCCUCAACAAAAAACAAAUACUCAAAGGGCUAGCCGGCAGCACCUGAGGUAAAGACAAUGAAACUUUGCUGGCAAUCUAUAAAGCAGUUGACAGGCCAGGCCGGUCGUAAACUAUGUUUCAUCGAACUGAGCACUGGGGACGAACGCGACGUAGAUGAAGCAGCUACAGGUUUCUCAGACCACUUCCCUCAGGGCGGCGACAGACAACCUCCUGAUGUCGACAUUCUUCACAAUUAACGAUAAUACCCCCACCAGAGUAAUGGGUUAUUGCCAAAGUUGGCCGGACAUAACAAUUGCGAGUGCUGGUCUGAUAAAGAGUACAAUCUGGCGACCUGUACUGACACUAGCAUCGGACCACUUGCCCAUACAAAUCUCGACUGACAGGCCUCCCGACUUUGUUUCCACGAAUCACCGGACAUUUGUUAACUUCAAAAAAGUUAACUGGCUCGUCUACACGGAAUUAACGGAGAACGUCUUUAGUGCUCUCCCCGCUCCACCAGACUGGUGAGCGUUCAUUCCGCAGGGUUGUCGUCAUGGGCUACAUGAUUACAAUUUUUAUAUAUCGAAUCUCGCCCCCUCCACCAGAAGAAUUUUCCCUAAGCUCGUAUGCCGUUGAUUGUGUGAUGAUGGCGUCUGGCCGGUAUACUGCUACCUUGCCGAUCUUUCUUACUUCUUCACUAUAUGGCAGUUAAAAAGUACAUACAUACAGUCGACGAAAUCCUCGGCUACCCUCUUCACCAACUGGACGAAGGAGUGCAGGCUUGAAUUAGAUGUGAAGCUCGAUGACGUAAAAAUUCCCAAAGAGUCGAGAGUCACAUUAGAUACAGGCACUCAUUCACUCUGCAUACGACCGCAAUUGCCGCAAAAUCAAGAGCCGCAAAAUCAAGAGCCGCAAAAAAAUAAUUAAAGCGCUAGCCGACAGCACCUGGGGUAACGACAAAGAAACUUUGCUGCCAUCUUACAAAGCCAUUCGACGGCCGGUCGAAAACUAUGCUGCAUCGAUCUGGGCGCCUAUGACGAACGAGACGCUGAUGAAGAAGCUACAAGCCUGCCAGAACACCGCCCUCAAGAGAGCGACAGGAAACCUCCUGAUGCCGCCGAAUGCAUCAGUGGAGCAUCUAUGCUAUGAGUUAAGGAGCAUAAUGCUUUGCUGUGCAAGUAAUUCCUAUUAAGUUUGUCACCGUAGGGAACACCACAAUAGGCAUCUUAUUGAAGCUGAACCACCACCUAGGCGCAUCAGAAAUAGAGUAAUUGACACAAAAAACACCAUCCAGAAAUACGUGCAGCAACCGCUGAACAGGAAAAUAUGUAAGGCGAAUUAAAUAGAUCGGCAUGUAUUUGGAGUGCGAAUUACGAUUGGGCAGACGUGGAAAUGCCGUAUAACGGCAUAGGCAAGCGGUGACAACUUUGUGUUUCCAUGGCGCUCUCAUUAGAUAUGUUGCUAUGAACGGAAGUAACUUUCAUACAUGCUUCUCUAAGGUUAAGGAAUAUUAAAAAUAAAAUGGUAAAUACGAUGGAGAGCUUCAAUCCUUCAACACCAAUGGGAGUAUUUUUAGACAUAUUGAACAUAUCAAUGGAUAGCUAAAUGAAUUCAGCAUCUGUUAAAAUAUUUUAAAACUUAUAUACAUAGUAUUUUCAUGCAAAUAUAAUUUAAGCCAAAAUUUAUAGCUAUGAAAUACAUUUAAAAAAUUCUUGUAUAGCAUAUAUAUGCAGCUCUGAAACUUUGAGCUUGAAUUAAUGUGUGUUUGUUGUAAAUAAAAGAAGCAUACAAAUUUAAGCUUUGCCUUUGUGCUGAUAAAAAUAUUGUAUUUUUAAAUUCAGUUUUAUGAACUACAGGUUCUUCUAAGUAAUGAUUUUAUACGUCUUCUUCUUAAUCUGCUAACCGAUAAAAACAAGUGAAGCUACGUUGUUCUCCACCUGAUCGGGUGAGUUCCAAAACGUCAGUUGCAAAGCAACCAUACAUUGUCACGCUUUCCUAAAUGCAGUAGAGCAAACCAUGAUAAUGUAUCAUGUUCCAAAAUGCGUCGGCAAUGUUAUUGAUGCGCAGACAAAAGUAAACUGCCCAUCGCUAAGGUUUGUGAUGCUUUGUUUUAUGAUAAAUUCUUAACGGUCGACGGCGGAGAGCAAGUUAUUUGCGCUAAUUAUUUUUUUUAACUUCAUAUUACUUGUCUUUUUUAUCUGUUUCGUAUUUUAGCCAUUUCACCGAAAAGCAACUUAUUUGCACGAAAAGCGUUCCAAAAUGUCAGAGUUUGCGAAGUAUUGUUGGAAAGCAAAUCUAUAGAAUACAGGGUUGCAUUGUUUCACAACCGCAUCAAUAUAAGGUAGUUGGAUGUUUCAGAACUCGCCCAUCCUUAUACAGUCAAAGAUAAAAGUUUAAAUACAUCUAUAAGAUUCAACUUUUUAUUAAUUUUAAGCAUUUUAGAGUAAGUGUACGAAUGCUGUUUAAUUGAAGUGUAUAACUAAUCAAUAAUGCAAUCCAAAAAAAUAUUCCACGUCGCUUAAAUCACUUAAAACCAUGCGGGACAAAAGUUUAAAUACAACACAUAUUAUUUCUUGUUUCGACCAAAUUAAACUCAAAAUAAAGGUGUUUAAAACAAUUAUAAUAUUUUGUUGGCCCACCUCAUGGUUCUAUAACUACCUUUAGAUGACGUGGGGGUAAAUGUAACCAAAUUUUCUAUUUCCGAUGACGCAAUCUAAGACUAUGCCUUUUUCAGAUAUUCUUCCAAGACUUAUUUGCUGGUUGAAGCCGCCAUAGCAAUUUUUCGUGCCAAUAACUCCCAAAUCUGCUCAUUGGGGUUCAAGUCUGAUGAUUUCGGCGGACUAUAAAGCUGACGAGGAGCAUAAUGCAAUAGUCAUUCCUUCCCCAAGCCCGCUGUUUGGUAAGGUCCGUUAUCUUGUUGAAUUAUCUACGAACUUCCGAGACCCAAUGAAUCCAUGCAACAAGGGUCUUUCUCCAGUGGAAAAUUUAUUACUUGUUCUGAUGGAAACUGAAGGGAAGCCAAAAAAGUAGUACAAAAUUGUUCAAAAACAAAUGAAGGCUUCGAGGCCGAAUUCAAAUACCUCUGCCAUAGAUACGAAAGUAAGUUUCAGUUAGUUAAGGCACAAUUUAAAAUUUUAUUUAGUCUGUCGCCCAUUUAGGAAAAUGAUUGCAAUUCUCUGAAGCAAUUACAGUGAAAAAUAAAUAAUUGCGUGUCAUUUUUAAAGAACCAUAAAAUUGGUUGUUUCAAUAGUGACAUACUUUUGCACAUUUAAAAUACCAGAUGACAAUAAAGCCCUAUGGGACUGUACUGAGAUUCCAACCUAGGAGGAGCUUGAUGGCUUCCUGACAAGCCGGUUCAGGCCAUCGAAGCAGUGGCACAAAAAACGAUUCAAAGAACGCAUAGCCGCUUAAGCCGCAUGCCAAUAAAUAUUGUCAUAAUCAAGAGACCCGCCGUAAAAGGCUUGCCUCAUAUCAAGUGAGUGUCCUCAAACCAAACUAUCCUAUGUGUGACACCAGCAUAAAUUUUGCUAUUGCUCAGACUUUGGAAAAUUACUUCAAAAGAACGAUUGAAGAUAGUUAAACGUCAUCAAGUAUGUAUAAACUGCGCUUAUUGCCAUUUACGCAUCACACUCUUCUACAUAUAUAACCUAUGAUUUAGAAGACAAUUGAUAAAAAAACUACAAACCACCAGAGACGACAUGCCAUGCACAUCCGCAUAAGCACGUGAGAACCUAAACCCGCGGAAAUCAAAUAAUGUGCAAUCCUGCAAUCCAUGCUUGGGCAAACUCAGGAACUUUGUUGGGUUUUCGAGUUCUCUUAAAUGCAGGAGGUACCAACUAUUCAGAAUACUAAUUUAUCACCGAAUCACAUAAACGGUACAAGCAUGUUUUGUUCAACUUUGCUCACCAAUCAAUCAUCUGCUUAAUAUGAACGCCUAUCUUUUAAUUUGACCGCGACUAACUGAAGAUCUCCCUUUUCCUCAAAUCAGCGCAAAGACAGUUCAAGUAUUUCUAGACUUAGCUCUGGCGGUUUAACGGUAUCUACAUGAGUACAGAGGAAAGACGCUGUCAGUAUACCUCUCGCAAAAACCCGAGUAGCCCCAGUCAAGACAAUAUCUGUACUAAGUCUUGAACUUCGCCGGGCAGUAUUGCUAGCUGAAUUUAUAGAAUUAUUAAUAAUCAACCGUAGCUUAGCUGAUACAAAAAUUCGUUUAUGGACGGAUUCAACCACUUUGCUGGCAUAGACACUCAAGCCUACGUGUUCAUCGUCAACUUUCGUCGCACAUAGAAUCACAAAGAUUGUUAAAAAGGUUGGAAAUAAGACCUGGUAAUAUGUCGACUCAGCAACUUAUCCAGCGGAUCUAGCUAUCAGACGACUUUCAGCAUCCGAUUUAAUAAAGACUAGCCUGUGGUGAAAAGGAUCUACAUGGCUUGAAAGGGAUCCGUCGAAAUAGCAUAAGCAGAAAAUAAUAAUAACGGUGUUAUGAGGACGCAUCACGUGAUCUCGCGUAUAGCGACCGUCAUCCAAUAAUACUAUCCAACAAUUGCAGAUUGUCACGUCUGAUUGUCCAUUUCAUCCAUGAAAUCUCCUUACAUGCAGAUGAUGUUACACCUCAUUCGAACGCCCUUUUGGAUUGCACAGAUAUAGAGCAUGGAUCGGAUCCAUUAUAUAUAAUUGUAGAGCCUUUACCAAUAUUGGUGUCGGUGUUGCAGGUCCGUUUGAAAUUAAAAGCUACAGCGACAGAGGUUGUCGAAUCUCCUAGUCUGCCUAUUUGUUUGCUUUUCAACAACGCCACCCGUUUGGAAGCAAUUAGUGAAUUGAGCACUCAAUAAUUUCUGUCAGCAUUUUCCAUGUUUGUCUGUGGGCGACGGUGUCCAUUUCGAUAACGGCACCAACUUUGUAGAAGUCUCACUAUCACUAAGACUCAGCCUUUAUUGCAGAUGCUCGUGAUAGCAUCGUUUCCAAAUAUGCGUUUCAAGAAUUAAAUUGGCGUUUUAUUCCAGCUUCAGCUUCUGAUAUGGAAGGACUGCGGGCAGCUUGAGUAAAAAGUUUUAAAAAUCAUUUUAAGAAAAUCACAUCGAGUUUUAAGUUUACGUUUGAGAAGCUAAGUACGUUGUUGUGCUGAGCUGAGAUAUGUCUCAACUCGCGACCACACUAUCCUUCCUCAAAUAACGCAACUGACUUUGAACUAUUGCCUGGAGUCAGCCAGUUUCUGGUUGGUGGACAUUUGUUAGUACCACCGGAUCCUAGUGUCAACGAAAAAUCAGUUGUUAAUAGGUAGCAGAUGCUAAAGGCUUUACACCACUCGUUUUGCAGAUGAUGGAAAAAUAAAUAUUCAAUGGAGAUGCAAAACCGCAUCAAAUGGAUACACCCACAACAUUUAAUUACAGGAGACUUAUUGUUUAUCAAGGAAGCUAACCUGCCACCUAACGAAUGGCGACUGGGAAGAAUCCUCCAAUUCCAGCCAGUGGAUCUUUGGACUGAAAGAGGACAAAUAACAAGAUCCCUUGUCAAAUAUCACACCUAAACCAAUACAAAAGCUUAACUAAAAUCACCUAAAACAAAUCUAUAAAUGAAAAAUCAAUAAAAUAAACAGAAAAAGAACACCACGAUUAUAUACAUAUACAAAUGUAAAUAUAAAGAUAACAGAAGCCAAGAAAUUUGACUCACCAUUGUCGUACGACUGUUCUGAGGAUCCACUUCAUUAUUAUGUGUUCUACUGUUUGAAUAUUUUUACAGAGCAGUACCCAAAUUAAAGUUAAAUGACGCAUUAUGGAAAAAUCAGCUUUUUGUCAAUUAUAAAUCAAAAUAUACACACUCACACCACCAUGACCACAAAUGGCGCAUUUUCAACAGUACGAAGCACAUUUUAAACCUUAUUAAAAUCAACAUUCCUUAUUACUACAUAUGUGUUACGUAUAUUAAUUUGGAUUUUCGCUUAUAACUAUACAUGUUUAUGAUUGUACAUUUAUACUUUAAAUCAAAUUCGCCACUAUUAAAAUGCACUUUUCAGCAGAUUUUAUUGAUGUCAGUUUCUGCUGAGUUGGUGCCUGGCUAGCGAGAUGUCUGCAAGCAUUUCACCCAGGUCCAAAUAACAACGCUCUACGUCAGAUUUCAAAUCGCUUGAAUACUUGUAUAAGAAUAAUUUAAUUUCCAGGUUUAGGUCAUAGACAGAACAGUGAACUUCUUUUCCGGGGUAGUGUAAAACGUCGAUUUGUCGAAGGCCAGCAUUUUUACUAGGAAAGCCGCUGUCUAUAAAUAUGAAUGUGUCAUUAGUUCUGGGCGAGUGGUGUUUGUAUCGUAGUAGUAAUAUAUAUACAAUACUUGUUUGGAAUGACGAAUGUUCACUUAUGUUUAAUUCUUCAGCAUUAAAUUAAAGU